RNAcentral lists this ribosomal RNA (253 nucleotides) under uncultured bacterium. RNAcentral describes it as "partial 16S ribosomal RNA". It matches the Rfam family "Bacterial small subunit ribosomal RNA", at positions 524 to 776 of the family's 1533-position model. The record is from RNAcentral.
UACGUAGGGGGCAAGCGUUAUCCGGAAUUACUGGGUGUAAAGGGUGAGUAGGCGGCAUGGUAAGCCAGAUGUGAAAGCCUUGGGCUUAACCCGAGGAUUGCAUUUGGAACUAUCGAGCUAGAGUACAGGAGAGGAAAGCGGAAUUCCUAGUGUAGCGGUGAAAUGCGUAGAUAUUAGGAAGAACACCAGUGGCGAAGGCGGCUUUCUGGACUGAAACUGACGCUGGGGCACGAAAGCGUGGGGUGCGAACAGG